UACGAAGGGGGCUAGCGUUGUUCGGAUUUACUGGGCGUAAAGGGCGCGUAGGCGGCCAUCUAAGUCAGACGUGAAAUCCCCCGGCUUAACCUGGGAACUGCGUCUGAUACUGGAAGGCUUGAGUAUGGGAGAGGGAUGUAGAAUUCCAGGUGUAGCGGUGAAAUGCGUAGAUAUCUGGAGGAAUACCGGUGGCGAAGGCGGCAUCCUGGACCAUUACUGACGCUGAGGCGCGAAAGCUAGGGGAGCAAACGGG
RNAcentral lists this ribosomal RNA (253 nucleotides) under uncultured bacterium. RNAcentral describes it as "partial 16S ribosomal RNA". It matches the Rfam family "Bacterial small subunit ribosomal RNA", at positions 524 to 776 of the family's 1533-position model. The record is from RNAcentral.